UGGUAGAGAGAGGAUUUUAGCCUCUGUUCAUGGAGCUACAACCCACCGCCUAACUCUCGGCCACCCUACC
RNAcentral lists this transfer RNA (70 nucleotides) under Hime japonica. RNAcentral's name for it is "tRNA-Tyr". The record is from RNAcentral. Lineage: Eukaryota; Metazoa; Chordata; Actinopteri; Aulopiformes; Aulopidae.